GAUGAAGAACGUAGCGAAAUGCGAUAAGUAAUGUGAAUUGCAGAAUUCCGUGAAUCAUCGAAUCUUUGAACGCACAUUGCGCCUGCUGGUAUUCCGGUAGGCAUGUCUGUUUGAGCGUCAGCAAAAACCUCUCAGCGGUAAUUUAUUUUAUCUGCUGGUUAUGGGCUGCGGAGGACUAGCCAUUGCGGCUGCUCCCGCCUUAAACUUGCUGCACGACCGCAAGCUUAUGCUAGGUUUAUUGGAGUGGUGUUUACAUUUAAUUCUUACAACCUGUUCAUAGCUUGGUGGCGUUAAACCCGAUGUUGCCUCUGUGCAACUGAAGUUUGACCUCAAAUCAGACAAGGAUACCCGCUGAACUUAAGCAUAUCAAUAAGCGGAGGA
RNAcentral lists this unclassified non-coding RNA (381 nucleotides) under soil metagenome. RNAcentral's name for it is "partial contains 5.8S ribosomal RNA, internal transcribed spacer 2, and large subunit ribosomal RNA". The stretch from base 1 to 120 matches the Rfam family "5.8S ribosomal RNA", at positions 35 to 154 of the family's 154-position model. The record is from RNAcentral.